UACGUAGGGUGCGAGCGUUGUCCGGAAUUAUUGGGCGUAAAGAGCUCGUAGGCGGUCUGUCGCGUCGGUCGUGAAAACUUGGGGCUUAACCCUGAGCUUGCGGUCGAUAUGGGCAUGACUGGAGUUCGGCAGGGGAGACUGGAAUUCCUGGUGUAGCGGUGAAAUGCGCAGAUAUCAGGAGGAACACCGGUGGCGAAGGCGGGUCUCUGGGCCGAUACUGAUGCUGAGGAGCGAAAGCGUGGGGAGCGAACAGG
RNAcentral lists this ribosomal RNA (254 nucleotides) under uncultured bacterium. RNAcentral's name for it is "partial 16S ribosomal RNA". It matches the Rfam family "Bacterial small subunit ribosomal RNA", at positions 524 to 776 of the family's 1533-position model. The record is from RNAcentral.